RNAcentral lists this long non-coding RNA (304 nucleotides) under Betta splendens (Siamese fighting fish). RNAcentral's name for it is "lncRNA (ENSBSLG00000007587.1)". The record is from RNAcentral. Lineage: Eukaryota; Metazoa; Chordata; Actinopteri; Anabantiformes; Osphronemidae.
CGAAGCUCCACACUGUGACACAGUUUGAUCUCAGUCCAUCUGUGGCUCUGCAGGACCUCAGGCCGACAGCAGCUGAGGACCACAGUGAGGCCCGGCGUGAAAACACUGAUUCACACUUAGUUAACGUUUAAAUGGACCGGAACCAGCUGGAGGAACGGGACACAGCCUGCAUGGAUCUGAGCUGCUGGUUUCUUCUCAGGAACCAAUUACCGGUUUGCUGCCAUGACGACCGUCUCCACUCAUGUUGCAGCCCCUCUUGCUCUCUUGAUUGACAUCUUAACAACCAAUUACAGCUGAUGCCCCC